This 327-nucleotide ribosomal RNA is filed under the name uncultured eukaryote. RNAcentral's name for it is "partial 18S ribosomal RNA". It matches the Rfam family "Eukaryotic small subunit ribosomal RNA", at positions 1470 to 1796 of the family's 1831-position model. The record is from RNAcentral.
CCCUUAGAUGUUCUGGGCCGCACGCGCGCUACACUGACGAAUGCAACGAGCUUAUAACCUUGGCCGAAAGGUCUGGGUAAUCUCCAAAUUUCGUCGUGAUGGGGAUAGAUUAUUGCAAUUAUUAAUCUUCAACGAGGAAUGCCUAGUAAGCGCAAGUCAUCAGCUUGCGUUGAUUACGUCCCUGCCCUUUGUACACACCGCCCGUCGCUCCUACCGAUUGAAUGGUCCGGUGAAGCGUUCGGACCGUGGCCUUUGGACGGUUCGCCGUCUGUUGGCUGCGGGAAGUUCGUUAAACCUUAUCAUUUAGAGGAAGGAGAGGUCGUANCA